Molecule: ribosomal RNA, 551 nt
Filed under: Salmonella enterica subsp. enterica serovar Fulica
Lineage: Bacteria; Pseudomonadati; Pseudomonadota; Gammaproteobacteria; Enterobacterales; Enterobacteriaceae
Description: partial 23S ribosomal RNA
Rfam family: Bacterial large subunit ribosomal RNA
Source: RNAcentral
AGACCCGAAACCCGGUGAUCUAGCCAUGGGCAGGUUGAAGGUUGGGUAACACUAACUGGAGGACCGAACCGACUAAUGUUGAAAAAUUAGCGGAUGACCUGUGGCUGGGGGUGAAAGGCCAAUCAAACCGGGAGAUAGCUGGUUCUCCCCGAAAGCUAUUUAGGUAGCGCCUCGUGAAUUCAUCUCCGGGGGUAGAGCACUGUUUCGGCUAGGGGGCCAUCCCGGCUUACCAACCCGAUGCAAACUGCGAAUACCGGAGAAUGUUAUCACGGGAGACACACGGCGGGUGCUAACGUCCGUCGUGAAGAGGGAAACAACCCAGACCGCCAGCUAAGGUCCCAAAGUCAUGGUUAAGUGGGAAACGAUGUGGGAAGGCCCAGACAGCCAGGAUGUUGGCUUAGAAGCAGCCAUCAUUUAAAGAAAGCGUAAUAGCUCACUGGUCGAGUCGGCCUGCGCGGAAGAUGUAACGGGGCUAAAUCAUGCACCGAAGCUGCGGCAGCGACACUGUGUGUUGUUGGGUAGGGGAGCGUUCUGUAAGCCUGUGAAGGUGG